Long non-coding RNA from Otolemur garnettii (small-eared galago), 2333 nucleotides. RefSeq lists it as uncharacterized. The transcript has 4 exons. NCBI's taxonomy places the organism in Eukaryota, Metazoa, Chordata, Mammalia, Primates, Galagidae. The record is from RefSeq and is a predicted model, not a curated record.
CAGGUGACGUCAGCCGGAGCCCCGGCUGCUGGUGGAGAUUAGAGGCUGCGUCCGGCGGUCGGGGGGGAACCGGGGUGCGGGUCUCGCCGCUGCCUCAGCGGUCGCUGCCGCCGCCGCCCUGCGCCCUCGUCCCAGACAGACUCUUAAAGGAGCCACGCGGUGCCCCAUACCAUGCUCACGACCCCGUGGGCCGGCGAUUUGUGCCCAGGGACGCCACCUCCAGGAAGCCUUCCUGGGCGCAGGGCUCUGCGUCUCCCGGGACCCCUUUGCCUUGCCGCACUCAGAGCCCCGACGGCCUGGACGCGGAGUGCCCUGCUUGCCGGCUGAAGCUGGCGCCGGUUCCCUUUCUCUGCGCAGCCUUUGUUUGCGCAGGGCCGCCUCCAGGAGAGCCUUCCCAGCCCGCUGCCUGGUGUCAAGUCUGGCCAGGCCCCUUGCCUGCCACAUCCACGUUCCCCCGCUCCAAGACCCCCAGAGGUGGAAGCCCCAUGCCGCUUUGCCACGGAGGUAGUUGGAAGCUCAGAGGCGACAUAGUUAGCCUCAGGUCACACAUCCUGUGAACUCGGGUCAAGGGGGAAGUCUCGAGAACGCUUGGGCGCUCUCUCGGUGCAGCGCUGGCUCCAGCCCCCGGGACAGCCAGCCUUCCACCCUUCCCGGGAAGAGCUGCCUCUGCACAGCCCUCCCCGCGCCCACCCUUACAGCCCUGUGAAGGCUGUCCAGUGUUCGCCUCCCGAUGACCCCGGUGAGAACAUAACCGGGCGGCGUGGACGCCGAGAGUCCGGGUCAUGAAGACACAGGUAAUUACACGGGCACAUGUGGGCCAGAAGCAUACAGGGGCGGGACAGAUGCUGGAGUGAGUGGGCAGUCAGGCCACCGCGGGGAGCAGUGGCCGAAUGUAGAGGCAGUGCUGAUGCUGGGGGAGGAACACAGCAAGCCGGGCAGGCAGGUCCUGGGCUUCUCCUGGGGACCAAGGCGAGGGUGCUCCUGCAGUCCUUGUCUAUUGACUCUACGAAUGUUUGCCGGGAUCUUUUCUGAGCUGGGCCCUGCUGCUGGACUUUGAAGACAGAGGUGGAGGAAGGGCUCAAGGAACAGUUUCAGGACAGCCCAGGAGCCCUGGGACACUUUGAAGGCUGUUGGUUCUUCAUCCUGGCAGAUUGCCUCAGAAUUCCUUGGAUUUUCCAGGGAGAUGGCCCUAUCAUCUGCUUCUUCUAACCCUUAUCUGCCUAUCUCUUCCUUGUCACACUGUGUUGGCCAUUACAACAUAAAGUACAUGGUGGUAUGUGGUUCCCAAAAGCAGCCAGAGGCAAACGCUAAUACUUCAUCUGGAGAUCUGCCUUCAUCCAAGGGAUCUUUAGGCCGCAAACCAACCCAGCCUCCUUCACGAGGCCUCUGGCAUCAAUAAGGAAGGUGGUCUCCUCCACUUUACAGACGCAGACCCUGCAGAUACCCUGCCCUUCUCAGGUGCAUAUCCACAUGACCUGACUGCCCUGGGACCCAGCCAGCUGCAUGAUUGUCGGCAGCCUUGAGCUUCCUCGGCACUGACUGAAGUUGUUGCCAGAAACACCAGGAGCAAACAUGUCACAGAGCAGGAUACUGGCUGCCACUCAGAUGAGCCUAUCCCAUGUACCUGGGUGGGAUGCCCUUUCUCUCCCAGUCUAUGCAAGUUCCCUGCACAUGCUGCAGGCAGAUACCUGGCAGCUAGGCUUCCUCAUAGGAGUCCGACCAGCCGUACUUCUGGAGAGCUUGAGGCCGUCCUCACUGGGCACAUCCUGUCACAGCUGCUGGGGUGACAGUAGUGGGUUUGGCUGUAUAGAUAGCAUCUUAGCCCUCUGCAUGGGAGACUGUCAGCAAGGAGCACAGCUGUGCUUUCUCCAUGGGUUGUGGGGACUCUCCAAGUCCUCUAUCCUGUAGGAAAGUGAACAGCAGCUUGGCUCCGCUUGGCCAGCUUGUCCUGGCCCAAACUCCGGUCACUCAGCCUGUAACCACAGACUGAACUCACUUUUGUGACCAGGCGGCCUAAGAGGAGGGGGGUGGGGGUGCCCCUGCUGGGUAGCAUUCACUGGUGAGCUUAAGCUUACCUUGUUCCCUCCGAUUCUGCUUUUGUGCUGAGGUGGUGUGUUUGUUCUGAUUCAUGAAUGGGUGUUAAAUUUUAUGAAAUGCCUUUAUUACAUUUAGUGAGACAAUUGCAUUUUUCUUCUUUUAUUCUAAGAACGUGGUGAAUUGCAAUGAUUGCACUUUGUCAGUCCUUCCUGAUCAUGAUAUAUUUGCUGAUAUUUUGUUAGAUUUUUGCAUUUGUGCAUGAGAUAUUUUGACAUACAGGUUUUCUUUCCUGCUAU